RNAcentral lists this long non-coding RNA (545 nucleotides) under Bos taurus (domestic cattle). RNAcentral's name for it is "long non-coding RNA NONBTAT007311". Lineage: Eukaryota; Metazoa; Chordata; Mammalia; Artiodactyla; Bovidae. The record is from RNAcentral.
CCCUUGCCAGUCAGCAGGAAAAGAUGGUGAGUAAAGUAGGAAGUUGCAAACCACCAUAAUGUAUAUGGUUGGUUGGGGUGUUAACUGUCUUAGGUGCUGAUUAGAAGAGGACUAACGCUUAACAUGUUGGUUUGGGCUAGUUAAUAAAGGCCUAGAAUAAAGGCCUUAUUUACUAUAAAUGUUUCCUAUCAAGUUUUUUUCCCCUAAUUUUUUUUAUUGAGUUCUUUAUUCCUAAUGGGCUUCCUAGUAAAGGAAAAGAAAGACACAAUGUUUUCUGCAUUUAUAAUACUGAAAAUAAUUAGCAUCUGUACUAGUAGCACUUGAAGACCACAAAAUAUUUUCAUAAGCACUAAUUAGACUUUAUUACACACCUGGAAGGUAAUCCAAGGAUCAAAAGAAAUGUUGACCAUUUUCAGGAGGUUUGGCAGACUCCUUUCUGCACAUUAGAAGAAUCACUUGAUAUAAUUAUCUGAACAUCAGAUAAACCCAUUAAACAAAAAGAAGUUACUGGAACUGACAUUUUCAGGCCUGUAUUAUUAAUAUGA